GACGAAGGUGGCUAGCGUUGUUCGGAAUCACUGGGCUUAAAGAGCACGUAGGCGGCCCGUUAAGCACCUUGUGAAAUCCCCCGGCUCAACUGGGGAAUUGCUUGGUGUACUGGCGGGCUUGAGGCAAGUAAGGGCGCGCGGAACUCUUGGUGGAGCGGUGAAAUGCGUAGAGAUCAAGAGGAACGCCGGAGGCGAAAGCGGCGCGCUGGGCUUGUCCUGACGCUGAGGUGCGAAAGCCAGGGGAG
This 245-nucleotide ribosomal RNA is filed under the name uncultured bacterium. RNAcentral's name for it is "partial 16S ribosomal RNA". It matches the Rfam family "Bacterial small subunit ribosomal RNA", at positions 524 to 768 of the family's 1533-position model. The record is from RNAcentral.